This 207-nucleotide ribosomal RNA is filed under the name uncultured bacterium. RNAcentral describes it as "partial 16S ribosomal RNA". It matches the Rfam family "Bacterial small subunit ribosomal RNA", at positions 568 to 774 of the family's 1533-position model. The record is from RNAcentral.
CACGUAGGCGGAUUUGUAAGUCAGGGGUGAAAUCCCGAGGCUCAACCUCGGAACUGCCUUUGAUACUGCAAAUCUCGAGUCCGGAAGAGGUGAGUGGAAUUCCUAGUGUAGAGGUGAAAUUCGUAGAUAUUAGGAAGAACACCAGUGGCGAAGGCGGCUCACUGGUCCGGUACUGGCGCUGAGGUGCGAAAGCGUGGGGAGCAAACA